AGUGAGACCUAAGAUCUUGAUAGUCUCAAUCUAAAAUAUUUUCAGUCAUUAGAUUAUUGAGUCAGAGAUCGAUGAAUCCGAUAAGACUGGUACAUCCUAUAUAUGCUUGAUGGAGAGGAUGGUUGAUCUCACAACCACUUGAGUAGUGACACUAAUACAAGGAUGUAGGUGCUCAUUAAAUAAUGAGUUUACUAAACAGACCCAC
This 205-nucleotide long non-coding RNA is filed under the name Elaeis guineensis (African oil palm). Its description in RNAcentral is "long non-coding RNA (EGUI_LNC058832)". The record is from RNAcentral. Lineage: Eukaryota; Viridiplantae; Streptophyta; Magnoliopsida; Arecales; Arecaceae.